GACGAACGCUGGCGGCGUGCCUAAUACAUGCAAGUAGAACGCUGAAGGAGGAGCUUGCUCUUCUGGAUGAGUUGCGAACGGGUGAGUAACGCGUAGGUAACCUGCCUGGUAGCGGGGAUAACUAUUGGAAACAAUAGCUAAUACCGCAUAAGAGUAGAUGUUGCAUGACAUUUACUUAAAAGGUGCAAUUGCAUCCCUACCAGAUGGACCUGCGUUGUAUUAGCUAGUUGGUGGGGUAACGGCUUACCAAGGCGACGAUACAUAGCCGACCUGAGAGGGUGAUCGGCCACACUGGGACUGAGACACGGCCCAGACUCCUACGGGAGGCAGCAGUAGGGAAUCUUCGGCAAUGGACGGAAGUCUGACCGAGCAACGCCGCGUGAGUGAAGAAGGUUGUCGGAUCGUAAAGCUCUGUUGUAAGAGAAGAACGAGUGUGAGAGUGGAAAGUUCACACUGUGACGGUAGCUUACCAGAAAGGGACGGCUAACUACGUG
RNAcentral lists this ribosomal RNA (494 nucleotides) under uncultured bacterium. Its description in RNAcentral is "partial 16S ribosomal RNA". It matches the Rfam family "Bacterial small subunit ribosomal RNA", at positions 28 to 507 of the family's 1533-position model. The record is from RNAcentral.